GACGAACGCUGGCGGCGUGCUUAACACAUGCAAGUCGAACGGAGAUUCAGCAAUGGAUCUUAGUGGCGAACGGGUGAGUAACGCGUAGGCAAUCUGCCUUCUAGAUGGGGACAACAUCCCGAAAGGGGUGCUAAUACCGAAUGUUGUAGUUGGUUCGCAUGGACUAGCUACUAAAGGUGGCCUCUGAAUAUGCUACCGCUAGAAGAUGAGCCUGCGUCUGAUUAGCUAGUUGGGGGGGUAACGGCCCACCAAGGCUUCGAUCAGUAGCCGGUCUGAGAGGAUGAACGGCCACACUGGGACUGAGACACGGCCCAGACUCCUACGGGAGGCAGCAGUGGGGAAUCUUCCGCAAUGGACGAAAGUCUGACGGAGCAACGCCGCGUGAGUGAAGAAGGUUUUCGGAUCGUAAAGCUCUUUCGUUAGGGACGAACGUGCUCUUUGUGAAUAAUGAGGAGUAAUGACGGUACCUAAAUAAGAAGCCACGGCUAACUACGUGCCAGCCGCCGCUGUAA
This 512-nucleotide ribosomal RNA is filed under the name uncultured bacterium. RNAcentral's name for it is "partial 16S ribosomal RNA". It matches the Rfam family "Bacterial small subunit ribosomal RNA", at positions 28 to 523 of the family's 1533-position model. The record is from RNAcentral.